Molecule: ribosomal RNA, 492 nt
Filed under: uncultured bacterium
Lineage: Bacteria
Description: partial 16S ribosomal RNA
Rfam family: Bacterial small subunit ribosomal RNA
Source: RNAcentral
AGUGAACGCUGGCGGUAGGCCUAACACAUGCAAGUCGAACGGCAGCACAGUAAGAGCUUGCUCUUACGGGUGGCGAGUGGCGGACGGGUGAGGAAUACAUCGGAAUCUACUUUUUCGUGGGGGAUAACGUAGGGAAACUUAAGCUAAUACCGCAUACGACCUACGGGUGAAAGCAGGGGAUCUUCGGACCUUGCGCGAUUGAAUGAGCCGAUGUUGGAUUAGAUAGUUGGCGGGGUAAAGGCCCACCAAGUCGGCGAUCCGUAGCUGGUCUGAGAGGAUGAUCAGCCGCACUGGAACUGAGACACGGACCAUACGCCUACGGUAGGGAGCAGUGUGGUAUAUGGGACAAUAGUCGCGAGCCUUGUCCAACCAGACCGCGUGUGUUAAGAAGGCCUUCGGGUUGUAAAGCCCGUUUGUUGGGUAAGAAACGCAUCAGGCUAAUACCCCGCUUUUCUGACGGUACCCGAAAAAGAAGCACCGGCUAACUUCGUG